CAAGGAUCUGGCUGCCAGGUUGCAGGAACAGCAGAAACCCGUGUGCUCUUGGCUGGCUGUAAAUACAAUUGGAAUUUUCUUCCGGAUACCGUGAACGUUCCUGCAAGACACCCGAUUUAGACGGGGGAGCAGGAAAUUACAUUUACUUUAAAAAUCAUGCUCAUCUAUUCCACAUGAAAGGUAUGGAGAGCUAAGAAAAGGAACAGGGAGACAGUGUAUGGUUGUGUUUAACUGAUCAACGGGGGCUAACAGAGUGAUUUAAUGUUUUAUGAGGGUGUGAUUAUUAGGAUGCGUGGUUUUAGAGGGGGUUGGCUGGGGCUAUCUGCGUGUGAUUCGGGAUGGCACACAUGCAUCUGUUGCAAGGGGGAAGGGGCAUCUUGCUAUUUGGAGGAAGGAUCAGGCAUUAAGGUAUUGGACUAGAGGGAGGGAUUGGGCAUCUUGCUGGGGUCUGAAUGGUUGGAUAGGGGCAUGCUGGUGUAGGUCUGGUGGGAUGGGGCACAUUUGUGUGGCUCUGGAGAAAGGGGGCACAUUGGUGUGGGUCUGGAGGGAUGGAUAGGACAUAGUGGUGUGGGUCUGGUUGAGGGAUAGGACAGUGGUGUGGGUUGGGGUGCAUUGGUGUGGGUCUGGGGAGGGAUGGAGGACAUGGGUGUGUUUCUGGAGGGAGAGAUGUGUCACAGUGGGUCUGGAGGGUGGCAUGGGUCAUCUAGUUGUGGAUUGGGAAGUGGAACGGGACAUCUUGGUGUGGCUCUGGAGGGAAGGGUGGGGGCACAUUGGUGUGGCUCUGGAGGGAGGUGGUGAGGGCACAUUGGUGUGGCUCUGGAGGGAGGUGGUUGGGCACAUUGGUGUGGCUCUGGUGGGAGGGGGAUGGGGCACAGUGGGUCUGGAGGGUGGCAUGGGUCAUCUAGGUCUGGGUUGGGGAGUUGGACGGGGCAUCUUGAUGUGGCUCUGGAGGAGGUGGUGGGGGCACAUUGGUGUGGAUCUGGGUGGAGGGAUGGUGCACAUGGGUGUGGCAUCCUGUCGCGGUGGGCCCUCCACCGACCCGUCUCGCCCGCUCUGUCAGAGAGAUGAUGCAUGAGCGUGUGUGAUAGGACCCGAAAGAUGGUGAACUCGGUCUGGUGGAGGUCCGUAGCGGUCCUGAUGUGUAAAUCAGUCAUCUGACCAGGGUAUAGGGGCAAAAGACUAAUCGAAUGAUAUAGUAGCUGGUUCUCUCCGAAGUUUCCCUCAGGAUAGCUGGCGUACGGAAACCCCAGUUUUAUCUAGCAAAGCGAAUGAUUAGAGGUCUUGGGGCCAAAAUGAUCUCAACCUACUCUCAAACUUUAAAUGGGUAUGAAGCCUGGCUUGCUGGAGUGGAGCCGGGUAUUGUAUGAAAGUGCUCAGUGGGUAACUUUUGGUAAGCAGAACAGGCGCUGCGGGAUGAACCGCACCCGAGGUUAAGGCGCAUGAUGCAGAUGCUCAUCAGUCCCCAGAAACGGUGUUGGUUGAUAUAGUCAGCAGGAUGGUGGCCAUGGUAGUCGGAAUCCACUAAGGAGUGUGUAACAACUCACCUGUCAAAUCAACUAGCCCUGAAAAUGGAUGGCGCUGGAGCAUCAGGCCCAUACCAGGCCGGCGCUGAGAGCCGCGGGGGCUAAGUCAGGCGAGCAGGAGGGCUGCUGCGGUACGCACAGAAGCCCGGGCGAGGGCCCGGGUGGAGCCGCCGCAGGUGCAGAUCUUGGUUGUAGUAGCAAAUAUUAAAACGAGAACUUUGAAGGAUGAAGUGGAGAAGGGUUCAUGUGAACAUAAGUUGAACAUGGGUCAGUCAGUCCUAAGAGAUGGGCGAGCGCCGUUCGGGAGGGAUGGGCUAUGGCCUCCAUUGCCCUCAGCCGAUCGACAGGAAGUCGGGUUCAGAUCCCCGAACCCAGAGUGGCGGGGACGGGCACCCUUGCGGCGUCCAGUGCAGUAAAGCAAAUGAUCCCAGAGUAGCUGGUGGAGCCGCACAGAGAGUUAUUUUCUUUUCUUUGUGAAGGGCAGGGCACCCUGGAAUGGGUUUGCCCCAAGAAAGGGGCCCGAGCUUUGGAAAGCGUCGCUGUUCUGGCGGCGUCCGGUGAGCUCUCGCUGGUCCUUGAAAAUCUGGGUGAGAUUUUGUAAAUCUUAUGCCAGGCCGUACCCAUAUCCGGAGAAUGUCUCCAAGGCGGACAACCUCUGGCAUGUCAGAACAAUGUAGGUAUGGAAGUCAGCAAGUUAGAUCCGUAACUUCGGGAUAAGGAUUGGCUCUAAGGGCUGGGUAGGUCGGACUGGAGCGCGAAGCAGGGCUGAGUGCGCACCAUGGCUGGAUGAGGCGUCUCCCCUCCUCCCCACCCCCCAGGCGGCUCUGCCUCUGGAUGCGAGCCGGGCCCUUCCUGGGGAUCACCCCAGCUGCAGUGUUCGCCAAUCUUGUUCCCCUCUGGGAGAUCAGGGCCGGCAUUCUGCCUCGGCCGACACCUGGCAGCUGACUUGGCACUGGUGCGGACCAGGGGAAUCUGACUGUUUAAUUAAAACAAAGCAUUGCGAAGGCCGUGCAGGGUGUUGACGCAAUGUGAUUCCUGCCAAGUGCUCUGAAUGUCAAAGUGAAGAAAUUCAAUGAAGCAUGGGUAAACAGCUGGGGUAACUAUGACCUUUAAUGUAGCCACAUGCCCGUCAACUAAUUAGUGAUGUGCAUGAAUGGAUGAAUGAGAUUCCACUGUCCCUACCUACUAUCUAGCGAAACCACAGCCAAGGGAACACACUUGGCAGAAUCGUCAGGGAAAGAAGACCCAGUUGAGUUUGACUCUAGUCUGGCACUGUGAAGAGACAUGAGAGGUAGGAUAAGUGGGAGGCCCUCGGGCCACUGGUGAAAUACCAUUACUCUUAUUGUUUUUCCACUUACCCGGUGAGGCGGGGGGCGAGCCCCGUGGGGCUCUUGCUUCUGGCUCCAAGCACCCUGCACCUGCCGGUCACGACCCGCUCUGGGGACAGACUCGGUGGGGAGUUUGACUGGGCUGGUACACCCUGUCAAAGGAUAAUGCAGGUGUCCUAAGGCGAACUCAAGGAGGACAGAAACCUCCCGCGGAGCAGAAGGGCAAAAGCUAGCUUGAUCUCGAUUUUUCAGUAUGAAUACAGACCGUGAAUGUGGGCUUCACGAUCCUGCUGACUUUUUGGGUUUCAAGCAGGAGGUAUCAGAAAAGUUACCACAGGGAUAAUUGGCUUGUGGCGGCCAAGCCUUCAUAGCGACGUCGCUUUUUGAUCCUUCGAUGUCGACUCUUCCUAUCAUUGUGAAACACAAUUCACCAAGCAUCGGAUUGUUCACCGACUAAUAGGGAACGUGAGGUGGAUUUAGACAGUUGUGAGACAGGUUAGUUUUACCGUACUGAUGAUAUGUUGUUGCAAUAGUAAUCCUGUUCAGUACGAGAGGAACCGCAGGUUCAGACAUUUGGUGUGCAUGCUUGGCUGAGGAGCCAAUGGGGUGAAGCUACCAUCUUUGGGUUUAUGACUGAACGCCUCUACGUCUGAAAUCCCCCCAACCCCAGACCGCGAUGCUGCAGCACUCUCGAGCAUCUGUUAGCUUAGGAUAGCCGGCCUCGGGGCCGGUGUGUAGAGCCGCUUGCCUCAGGACUUGAGUGUGGACAGAAGGGGGCCACCUCUCUCACCCUUAGUGCACCGCAU
This 3657-nucleotide ribosomal RNA is filed under the name Ambystoma mexicanum (axolotl). Its description in RNAcentral is "eukaryotic LSU rRNA". The stretch from base 898 to 3657 matches the Rfam family "Eukaryotic large subunit ribosomal RNA". The record is from RNAcentral. Lineage: Eukaryota; Metazoa; Chordata; Amphibia; Caudata; Ambystomatidae.